GAUGAAGAACGCAGCGAAAUGCGAUAAGUAAUGUGAAUUGCAGAAUUCAGUGAAUCAUCGAAUCUUUGAACGCACCUUGCGCCCUUUGGCCAUUCCGAAGGGCAUGCCUGUUUGAGUAUCAUGAACACCUCAACUCUCAUGGCUCGCCAUGAUGAGCUUGGACUUUGGGGGUCUUGCUGGCCUGUGGUCGGCUCCUCUCAAAUGGAUCAGCUUGCCAGUGUUUGGUGGCAUCACAGGUGUGAUAACUAUCUGCGCUUGUGGUUUUCCAUCAGAUAACCUUCAGUGAUGGAGGUUCGCUGGAGCUCAUAAACGUCUCCCCUAAGCGGGGACAGCCCUUUGAAUGUUUGAUCUCAAAUCAGGUAGGACUACCCGCUGAACUUAAGCAUAUCAAAAGCGGAGGA
RNAcentral lists this unclassified non-coding RNA (401 nucleotides) under soil metagenome. Its description in RNAcentral is "partial contains 5.8S ribosomal RNA, internal transcribed spacer 2, and large subunit ribosomal RNA". The stretch from base 1 to 121 matches the Rfam family "5.8S ribosomal RNA", at positions 35 to 154 of the family's 154-position model. The record is from RNAcentral.